Molecule: non-coding RNA, 22 nt
Filed under: Rattus norvegicus (Norway rat)
Lineage: Eukaryota; Metazoa; Chordata; Mammalia; Rodentia; Muridae
Source: RNAcentral
UGGGUGAAUGGUCAAUGUCUUG